Molecule: ribosomal RNA, 252 nt
Filed under: uncultured bacterium
Lineage: Bacteria
Description: partial 16S ribosomal RNA
Rfam family: Bacterial small subunit ribosomal RNA
Source: RNAcentral
ACGGAGGGUGCGAGCGUUAAUCGGAAUUACUGGGCGUAAAGCGCGCGUAGGCGGUUUAGUCAGUCAGAUGUGAAAGCCCUGGGCUCAACCUGGGAACUGCAUUUGAUACUGCUGGACUGGAGUAUGGUAGAGGGAAGUGGAAUUCCGGGUGUAGCGGUGAAAUGCGUAGAUAUCCGGAGGAACACCAGUGGCGAAGGCGACUUCCUGGACCAAUACUGACGCUGAGGCGCGAAAGCGUGGGUAGCAAACAGG